Molecule: long non-coding RNA, 486 nt
Organism: Cyprinus carpio carpio
Lineage: Eukaryota; Metazoa; Chordata; Actinopteri; Cypriniformes; Cyprinidae
Source: Ensembl
CGACACCCUUGGCCUGUCCCAUUUUUGCCUCCCUCCCACUGUUAAAAUGACAGUCAUGUCCAUCUUCUGAUUGAUAAAGACUGCAUCCACCAAUUGCUGUCUGAGCAUUUCAAGAUUGGAAGCAUCCUGGCCACUUGGAAUGUUAGGCUCCUCAUUUUGGAUCUGUAAUUACCCAUUUUGUCUUUCAAACUGUUUAUCCACCCACCCAGAAGGCGAACCUGGUUCUUGAAGGUUUCUUGAAGGGUGGAAGACAUCCAUUUUUUCCACAUGAUUUGGACAAUAUGUCAUUCUCUUCCACAGUCUCAACACCUCUUUCACAACUGACUCAUCUACAUGUCCAAAGUGUUUCUUAAGAACUGCCUUCACAUUAUUUUGCAAAAGUGGCUGGGACAACUGAACUAUUUGGCCUAGAAAUGGACACUGAACUUUUUGGUGGUCUUUGAGAUGUCUACGUCGAAGGUGGGCAAAAUAUUCAGUAAAUGACAG